GUACUUUACAAAGUAGAGAGAAAGGGAGAGAGGGAGAGAGAACGAAAAGAGAUCUCGUAAAUGAAGAGACGACGUCGAUCGAGACUAAGUUAAAAAGCAGGAGCGAUUCGUAUUGACAUCACGCACCAACGACGAUUCUAUAUACGACUGUGUCGGUCUUUUCUCAUUGGAUAUGCACGUGACGUCAGGCAUGUGUCACACUGGUGUGCGGCUGAACAAGUGAAAACUGUCCAUCGCGGAGGACGUUUUUCUGCUCUAUUGUCACAGCGAACGGAACGAAGUUUCUCGACUUCCAUCAUGUGGAAGAACUACGAACUACGUGGACCACGAAUCUUCCGAGAUGAUAGUUUUUAUCGAAGAUCUUUCUCUGUCUGUUUUACUAAAUUUUUAUGUGAAAAAUCGGAGAUGUCACGAUGAGAGUCGAAAGCACAACGGCAGACAAUACAAGUGAUAGAAGACUGUGAGUCUUAAAUUACAUGGAUCGUAAAUCGACAGCGAACGCGAUUGUUCGGCGAUUGCGUUUAAAUCACCGUUCGACAUGUCGUCGGUGAUUUAAAUGCGUGGCCGAAGAACGAAAAGCGACAGAUAAAUAGAGCGAUCGGAGAACAGGUGGACACUCGUGGGUGGUAUGUCUGUAAUGCGAUGAACACGUGACCCCGACAAGGACGUCGCCAUUUUGAGGAAAAAUAAGCGCGGCAAGUUUAUACGUGACAUCUCUCAUAUCUCUCAAUCAUCCAAUUUUCUUCUAAAAAAAAAAAAAAAUUAUCACUUUUAUUAUACAUUGUGUAAAAGUUAUAAAAGAAAAAUAAACGUAUUGCUUAAAACAAAAUAUACUGUUCGAAUGCAUUUAACUGUAAAUAACUUUAAUCCAAACGAAGAAGCGGUGAAGUAGAGAAUUAAAUAACUUGAUGCAUUUAGAAUUUCAAGGAAGAGAAUAUCUGACCGCUCUUCCGCGAAGUUAAAAAAAAAAUAGAUCGCAUUUCUGCUUUCGCGUUAACCGUACUCAAACCAUGACAACUAGUCAUUGACCAAGUCUCGUUAUGAAAUUAAUUCAAUCUGACAAUCAUGUAAAACUGUCGGUUCUAAACAUCGGUAAUCUAAUUGCGAAUUAACAUGCAAGUGUAAACAAAAUCAAAUAACAUCGAUCUGGUAUGGAGAACACGUAAUAAGAGGAAAAUAAAGGCAUAGACUAGAAACGUGUCUUUACAGCCGAUGCACUGGGAAGAUUCCCAUCGGUACUCGUGCACGGCAAAUUACGUAAGAAGCUGACAAUGCUAGUCUCGUAACAUCCUCGAGCAAA
This 1300-nucleotide unclassified non-coding RNA is filed under the name Bombus terrestris (buff-tailed bumblebee). RNAcentral describes it as "misc RNA ENSBTSG00005031451.1". Lineage: Eukaryota; Metazoa; Arthropoda; Insecta; Hymenoptera; Apidae. The record is from RNAcentral.